This 484-nucleotide ribosomal RNA is filed under the name uncultured bacterium. RNAcentral describes it as "partial 16S ribosomal RNA". It matches the Rfam family "Bacterial small subunit ribosomal RNA", at positions 30 to 507 of the family's 1533-position model. The record is from RNAcentral.
AUUGAACGCUGGCGGCAUGCCUUACACAUGCAAGUCGAACGGCAGCACGGACUUCGGUCUGGUGGCGAGUGGCGAACGGGUGAGUAAUGUAUCGGAACGUACCUUUCAGUGGGGGAUAACGUAGCGAAAGUUACGCUAAUACCACAUAUUCUGUGAGCAGGAAAGCAGGGGAUCGAAAGACCUUGCGCUGAUUGAGCGGCCGAUAUCAGAUUAGCUAGUUGGUGGGGUAAAGGCCUACCAAGGCGACGAUCUGUAGCGGGUCUGAGAGGAUGAUCCGCCACACUGGAACUGAGACACGGUCCAGACUCCUACGGGAGGCAGCAGUGGGGAAUUUUGGACAAUGGGGGCAACCCUGAUCCAGCCAUGCCGCGUGAGUGAAGAAGGCCUUCGGGUUGUAAAGCUCUUUCGGCCGGGAAGAAAUCGCAUAGGCUAACACCCUGUGUGGAUGACGGUACCGGAAUAAGAAGCACCGGCUAACUACGUG